This 169-nucleotide small RNA is filed under the name Chelonoidis abingdonii (Abingdon island giant tortoise). Its description in RNAcentral is "TUC338 (ENSCABG00000020928.1)". Lineage: Eukaryota; Metazoa; Chordata; Testudines; Testudinidae. The record is from RNAcentral.
UUACCAAUCCUGCAGAUUGAAGUCCUUUAUCUAUCUAUAGAGGAGAUACAGCAUGUGCAAUAGCAGUUCAGGCUUCACCACACAGCUACCAAUGUGUCCUUGAUCUCAAAGGACCUCCCCUAACAGUGAGCAUAGCUUAGUUUCCCUCUCCAUUAGUACUUUGGCCACU